UAAAAAAGUUAAAAUUCAAUGUUAAAAUUUUAUAAAAUUAUUUGUUAAAUUGGUGUUGUUUUCAUUGAAAACAUAAUUACAGACAGAAAAACAAAACUCAUGAUUUACAAUGCAAAACAUCUAAACAAGCAACCUUUUGCACAUUAAUAAUAAUAAUUAUUACGAAUUGAAUGACUGCAUAAUGUUCAGCUAUCUUGUCGAGUUCACAUAAAAAUAGUCACAUUGACAAAUAUGAUUGUAUCUUGAUAACAUAUAGUUGUUACAAAAAUUAUAAAUUAAAAAUAAGCUUAAUUAUUUAAUAAAAUGUUAUAAGGCGAUAAUUAUCACUUCCGUUUAUUCCGAAUGAUUAGUAAAUAAUAUUCCACACUUAUAAAGCAGCCGUUGGCAUAUUUAUAAUAAUCAUUAAUGAUACUUAUGGUAUAGAGAACGGAAUGACUGGGUAUAAUCGAGCUAACCUGUCGAGGCCGUAUCAGAACAGUCAUGUUGACAAAUUUAGUAGUAUCUUAAACAAAUAUAAAUACCGACGAGCGGAUAAAUUUAAACCAGUGAUUAAGAUUUUGUCAAAAAUGUUCACGUUUUUACCUGAAAUUGUAUUAUUUUUGGUAACAAUAGUACUUCUAGUACUCGGUUACUUUAAGUACAGUUAUACAUAUUGGUCGAGAAGAGGAAUACCAUUCAUAAAACCUAAGCUGUUCUAUGGUAACCUAAAAAGUUUACCCAAAGGUGUAGGAAUGGGUAAGUACCACUUUAAACCCCAGUACUUAAUUUUAUACGUACAACUUCUUUUAGGUUUGGUAAGCAAAACCUUCCACGAAGAGUUCCGAAGAAUGAAAGUAAGGUACGGAGGCCUGUACGGAAUCGCCCAACCUAUAUUGAUGGUCGUAGACUUGGAUUUCAUCAAGGACAUCUUCAUCAAAGACUUCCAGUACUUCGUGAACCGGGGCAUGUACCACAACGAAACGGCCGACCCCUUAUCAUCCAACCUGCUCACGCAGGAGGACCAAAAAUGGAAGAACUUGCGCAUCAAAUUCACACCCACGUUCACAACCGGCAAAAUGAAGAACAUGUUCAGCUCCAUGAACGGGUGUGCCCAGCGUAUGUUGGAUUACAUGGAGUCGUCGGAUAAACAAGCACUGGACGCGAAGAACGUGAUGCAACGCUACACCAUCGAUGUGAUCGGCACCACCGUCUUCGGUAUAUCCUGCGACAGCUUCGCCGAAACGUCCGACUUCAGGAGAAUGGCCAGACGCAUCUUCGAAGUCGACUUUCGCUCCGCCAUUAACUUCUGCCUCGCCCUUUACUGUCCGACCAUCGCCAAGUAUUUGGGUGUGACCCUGACAAGCAGAGAUGUCAGGGAGUUCUUCUUCAACGUGGUGGCCAGCAACGUGAAGUACCGCGAGCAAACCAACACCAAACGCUCGGAUUUCUUUCAAAUGCUGGUCGAUUUGAAAAACGCCCCGAACAAAGAGGACAGCAUCAACUUAACGGAGAUCACGGCUCAGACGUUUCUGUUCUUCCUCGGAGGGUUCGAAACGUCUUCCAGUACUAUGAUGUUCUGCACGUUUGAGCUGGCCCACAGGCAAGAAAUUCAAGACAGGCUCCGGAAGGAGAUUCGAGAAGUUUUGAAUAAGUACAACCAAGAAAUCAACUACGAGUCGAUACAAGAAAUGAAGUACCUGUCUCAAGUACUCGACGAGACGUUAAGGAUGUAUCCUCCAAUACCGACGUUAGUAAGAAAGUGUACACAAGAUUAUAAAAUAAGAGGGACUGAACAUGUGAUUGAAAAAGGUACCACGGUACUUGUUUCAAUAUUUGGAGUGCAGAGGGAUCCGGAAAUUUGGCAAGAUCCACUUGAAUUUGACCCUGAGAGAUUUAGUGAUGAGAACAAAAGGAAUCAUCACCCUUGUGCUUACAUACCUUUUGGUAACGGACCAAGAAACUGCCUUGGUAUGAGAUUUGGAUUGUUACAAACAAAAAUCGGACUUGUACACCUUUUGAAAAAUUAUAGAUUCUAUCCUAGUCCAAAUACUAAAGUACCCCUGGAGUUUGAUCAGGAGUCUGGCGUACUGAUUUCUCUUAAUGAUAUUUAUUUUAAAGUAGAAAAGUUACAAUAAUAAAAAAUGUUACAAUAUACGUGUCCUUUAGUUUAGUAGCUUUCAAUCAGCUUCUAUUAUUAAUUGACACAAAUACUAAAAAAAAAAUAUGAAGUACCCGUCUCAAGUGCUUAACGGUAAAAAAAAAUAAUCACUUACGUUUCAAAUAUUGUUUUUCACUAAUCACUUUAAUAAAUAAAAAAUAAACAACACUGUAACAAUCAAUAUUGUUAAAAAAACAAAUGUAAAAAUUAUUUCACAUGACAAACAAUCAAUAAUUCACCCAAAACAGUACUAAAAAUAAAACUCAUCACUUACAGUGCGAAACCUCUAAAUAAGCAACAACAUACACAUUUAUAAUAAUCAUUAAUAAUAAUUGGAACGAGUGGAAUGACUGUAAAAUAUUUAGCCAUCCUAUCAAGUCCAUAUUAAAACAGUCAUGUUGAUAAAUACAUACAUCCGUUAUCUUACAUAAAUACAUAUAGAACAAAUUUAAAAUAGUACCGAUUAUGAUAUAAAAAAUGUUCAACUAUUUUAUUGAAGUUUCGUUAUUUUUGGUAACCGUAGAUAACUGAUCUAGACUUCCACCUAAAGGAAUAGGUUUGGUAUGCAAAAGAUCAGAAACAGAAAAUUAAGGUAAGAAAAGAAGGUACCAAGUU
Molecule: RNA transcript, 2752 nt
Organism: Aethina tumida (small hive beetle)
Lineage: Eukaryota; Metazoa; Arthropoda; Insecta; Coleoptera; Nitidulidae
Gene name: probable cytochrome P450 6a23
Exons: 4
Source: RefSeq, a predicted model, not a curated record